AGCAAAGAACGUGGCCAUGGCUGAAUCUUGUAAUAUCCUUUGCAUAAUUAAUUUGUACUUGCUAUAUUAAUCUGUCUCACAAGCCGAGUUUGUACUAUACUUCUGUGCCGCAUUUCAUAGAACACUUGAAAGAUUAUGGCGGUAAAGGACAAAAAGCCAUCAGUAGAGAUCAACAAUCUCAAGUUCACCUAUCCUGGUAUAGAUGGACAUCCGCCUCCCGGAUCUACCCCUUUGAUAGAUGAUUUCAACCUUACCCUUUAUCCUGGUGAUCGAUGCCUUCUUGUCGGAUCUAAUGGCGCAGGGAAGACUACAAUCCUGAAGAUAUUGGGAGGAAAGCAUA
This 340-nucleotide unclassified non-coding RNA is filed under the name Hevea brasiliensis (rubber tree). Lineage: Eukaryota; Viridiplantae; Streptophyta; Magnoliopsida; Malpighiales; Euphorbiaceae. The record is from RNAcentral.